UACAGAGGGGGCAAGCGUUGUUCGGAAUUACUGGGCGUAAAGGGCGCGUAGGCGGCCCGCUAAGUCGAACGUGAAAUCCCCGAGCUCAACUCGGGAACUGCGUCCGAUACUGGUGGGCUUGAAUCCGGGAGGGGGAUGCGGAAUUCCAGGUGUAGCGGUGAAAUGCGUAGAUAUCUGGAGGAACACCGGUGGCGAAGGCGGCAUCCUGGACCGGCAUUGACGCUGAGGCGCGAAAGCUAGGGGAGCAAACGGG
This 253-nucleotide ribosomal RNA is filed under the name uncultured bacterium. RNAcentral's name for it is "partial 16S ribosomal RNA". It matches the Rfam family "Bacterial small subunit ribosomal RNA", at positions 524 to 776 of the family's 1533-position model. The record is from RNAcentral.